This 387-nucleotide unclassified non-coding RNA is filed under the name soil metagenome. RNAcentral describes it as "partial contains 5.8S ribosomal RNA, internal transcribed spacer 2, and large subunit ribosomal RNA". The stretch from base 1 to 120 matches the Rfam family "5.8S ribosomal RNA", at positions 35 to 154 of the family's 154-position model. The record is from RNAcentral.
GAUGAAGAACGCAGCGAAAUGCGAUAAGUAAUGUGAAUUACAGAAUUCAGUGAAUCAUCGAAUCUUUGAACGCACCUUGCACCCUUUGGCAUUCCGAAGGGUAUGCUCGUUUGAGUGUCAUUGUACUCUCACACUCUCCGAUCCUAUGGAUUCGGGGAGCGGUGGACUUGGGUGUUGCUGCCUUUCCCUGUGGCUCACCUCAAAUGCGUCAGUGCACCUCUUGGUUGGACAUAGUACGGCGUGAUAAGUGUCUUCGCCGGCACCUCGCAAGAGGGUGGCCGAUCGGGAGCUCUGCGCUUUCAAACCGUCUUCGGACAAUUUCUGACAUCUUGACCUCAAAUCGAGUAGGACUACCCGCUGAACUUAAGCAUAUCAAUAAGCGGAGGA